UGGGGAAUAUUGCACAAUGGAGGGAACUCUGAUGCAGCAACGCCGCGUGCGGGAUGACGGCCUUCGGGUUGUAAACCGCUUUCAGCCAUGACGAAGCUUUUGUGACGGUAGUGGUAGAAGAAGCACCGGCUAACUACGUGCCAGCAGCCGCGGUGAUACGUAGGGUGCGAGCGUUGUCCGGAAUUAUUGGGCGUAAAGAGCUUGUAGGCGGUUUGUCGCGUCGAAAGUGUAAACUCAGUGCUUAACGCUGAGCCUGCUUUCGAUACGGGCUGACUAGAGGAGGGUAGGGGAGAAUGGGAUUCCCGGUGGAGCGGUGGAAUGCGCAGAUAUCGGGAGGAACACCAGUGGCGAAGGCGGUUCUCUGGACCUUUCCUGACGCUGAGAAGCGAAAGCGUGGGUAGCAAACAGG
This 409-nucleotide ribosomal RNA is filed under the name Fusobacteriota bacterium. RNAcentral's name for it is "Fusobacteria bacterium partial 16S ribosomal RNA". It matches the Rfam family "Bacterial small subunit ribosomal RNA", at positions 355 to 776 of the family's 1533-position model. The record is from RNAcentral. Lineage: Bacteria; Fusobacteriati; Fusobacteriota.